AUGGCCAACGUUGUCCUCAACUUCAACGCGUUCCUAGAGAAAACCAAGCUGAAAGACGAUGACAGCAACUAUACGGACUGGGUCCGGAACCUGAGGAUCAUCCUCAUAGCUGCCAAGAAAGAUUUUGUCCUACAAGCACCGCUAGGUGAAGCACCUGCUCUCCUUGCAGAACAAGAUGUUAUGAACGCUUGGCAGACACGUACCGAUGAUUACUCCCUCGUUCAGUGCGGCAUGCUUUACAGCUUAGAGCCGGGGCUCCAAAAGCAUUUUGAGAGACACGGAGCAUAUGAGAUGUUCGAAGAGCUGAAAAUGGUUUUUCAAGCUCAUGCCCGGGUCGAGAGAUAUGAAGUCUCCGACAAGUUCUUCAGCUGUAAGAUGGAGGAAAACAGUUCUGUCAGUGAGCACAUACUCACUAUGUCUGGGUUACAUAACCGCUUGACUCAGCUGGGAGUUAAUCUCCCGGAUGACGCGGUCAUUGACAGAAUCCUUCAGUCGCUUCCACCGAGCUACAAGAGCUUUGUGAUGAACUUCAAUAUGCAGGGGAUGGAAAAGACCGUUCCUGAAGUAUUUGCAAUGCUGAAAUCAGCAGAGGUAGAAGUCAAAAAGGAACAUCAAGAGUUGAUGGUGAAUAAAACCACUAAGUUCAAGAAAGGCAAGGGUAAGAAGAACUUCAAAAAGGACAAGGGAGUUGCCGCGCCCGGCAAGCAAGUUGCCGGAAAGAAGCCAAAGAAUGGACCCAAGCCCGAGACUGAGUGUUUUUAUUGCAAGGGAAGUGGUCACUGGAAGCAGAACUGCCCCAAAUACUUAGCGGACAAGAAGGACGGCAUCACGAAAGGUAUAUGUGAUAUACAUGUAAUUGAUGUGUACCUUACCAGUACUCGUAGUAGCUCCUGGGUAUUUGAUACCGGUGCGGUUGCUCACAUUUGUAACUCAAAGCAGGAGCUGCGGAAUAAGCGGAGACUGGCGAAGGACGAGGUGACGAUGCCCGUCGGGAAUGGUUCCAAGGUCGAUGUGAUCACCGUCAGCACGCUACCUCUACAUUUACCUACGGGAUUAGUUUUGAACCUCAAUAAUUGUUAUUUAGUGCCAAGUUUGAGCAUGAACAUUGUAUCAGGAUCUCGUUUAAUACGAGAUGGUUACUCAUUUAAAUCUGAGAAUAAUGGUUGUUCUAUUUAUAUGAGAGAUAUGUUUUAUGGUCAUGCUCCGAUGGUGAAUGGUUUAUUCUUAAUGAAUCUCGAGUGUAAUGCUACACAUAUUCAUAGUGUGAGUACCAAAAGAUGUAAGGUUGAUAAUGAUAGUCCCACAUACUUGUGGCACUGCCGCCUUGGUCACAUAGGUGUCAAACGCAUGAAGAAGCUCCAUGCAGAUGGACUUUUAGAGUCUCUUGAUUACGAAUCAUUUGACACAUGCGAACCAUGCCUCAUGGGUAAAAUGCGUCUUCAUAGGAUAGCCUAA
This 1455-nucleotide ribosomal RNA is filed under the name Triticum aestivum (bread wheat). RNAcentral describes it as "partial small subunit ribosomal RNA". The record is from RNAcentral. Lineage: Eukaryota; Viridiplantae; Streptophyta; Magnoliopsida; Poales; Poaceae.